This 72-nucleotide non-coding RNA is filed under the name Pseudogracilibacillus auburnensis. Lineage: Bacteria; Bacillati; Bacillota; Bacilli; Caryophanales; Bacillaceae. The record is from RNAcentral.
AACCGCCGCAUACCGAACGGUACGUGCUGGUGGUGUGAGAGGACGGGAGUUAAUUACUCCCUUCUACUCGAU